Molecule: ribosomal RNA, 586 nt
Filed under: uncultured bacterium
Lineage: Bacteria
Description: bacterial SSU rRNA
Rfam family: Bacterial small subunit ribosomal RNA
Source: RNAcentral
CCUACGGGAGGCAGCAGUGGGGAAUUUUGGACAAUGGGCGCAAGCCUGAUCCAGCCAUGCCGCGUGUGGGAAGAAGGCCUUCGGGUUGUAAACCACUUUUGUCAGGGAAGAAACGGCUUUUUCUAAUACAGAGAGCUAAUGACGGUACCUGAAGAAUAAGCACCGGCUAACUACGUGCCAGCAGCCGCGGUAAUACGUAGGGUGCAAGCGUUAAUCGGAAUUACUGGGCGUAAAGCGUGCGCAGGCGGCUUUGCAAGACAGAUGUGAAAUCCCCGGGCUCAACCUGGGAACUGCAUUUGUGACUGCAUGGCUAGAGUACGGUAGAGGGGGAUGGAAUUCCGCGUGUAGCAGUGAAAUGCGUAGAUAUGCGGAGGAACACCGAUGGCGAAGGCAAUCCCCUGGACCUGUACUGACGCUCAUGCACGAAAGCGUGGGGAGCAAACAGGAUUAGAUACCCUGGUAGUCCACGCCCUAAACGAUGUCAACUGGUUGUUGGACGGCUUGCUGUUCAGUAACGAAGCUAACGCGUGAAGUUGACCGCCUGGGGAGUACGGCCGCAAGGUUGAAACGUCAAAGGAAUUGACGG